UACGGAGGGUGCAAGCGUUAGUCGGAAUUACUGGGCGUAAAGGGUGCGUAGGCUGGGAUAUAAGUCAGAUGUGAAAAACCAAAGCUCAACUUUGGCAGUGCAUCUGAAACUGUAUUUCUAGAGGAAUAGCGGAGAAAACGGAAUUCCACGUGUAGCGGUGAAAUGCGUAGAUAUGUGGAAGAACACCUGUGGCGAAAGCGGUUUUCUAGCUUUCUCCUGACGCUGAGGCACGAAAGCAAGGGGAUCAAACAGG
Molecule: ribosomal RNA, 253 nt
Filed under: uncultured prokaryote
Also listed under: 1 other name
Description: partial 16S ribosomal RNA
Rfam family: Bacterial small subunit ribosomal RNA
Source: RNAcentral